This is a long non-coding RNA of Nicotiana attenuata, 281 nucleotides long. RefSeq lists it as uncharacterized. The transcript has 3 exons. Lineage: Eukaryota; Viridiplantae; Streptophyta; Magnoliopsida; Solanales; Solanaceae. The record is from RefSeq and is a predicted model, not a curated record.
CCCCAAAAGGCCAAAACCCAAAACCGUCACUCCUCACUCCAAAAUAGAGUAGGGAGUACCAACCUUUCUUUCUCAAUUCUUCUCAUUACUUUGAAAAAGUAGCAGACAUCAAAUCUUUGGUCAAUUGGGAAGUCUGGAUGAAAUCAAAGCGCUAGGAGAGGAGUAUGCGACAUGCAAUUAUCUUUAGACCGGGGAACUAUUUCCUUGGAGUUAAUGCUUGUCUUGAUGUGAUGUGGAGGGUGUUUACUUUGUACAUUAAUUAGUUCUUUGGCAAUGCCCUU